CCUACGGGAGGCAGCAGUGGGGAAUAUUGGGCAAUGGGCGCAAGCCUGACCCAGCAACGCCGCGUGAAGGAAGAAGGCUUUCGGGUUGUAAACUUCUUUUCUCAGGGACGAAGAAAGUGACGGUACCUGAGGAAUAAGCGACGGCUAACUACGUGCCAGCAGCCGCGGUAAUACGUAGGUGGCAAGCGUUAUCCGGAUUUACUGGGUGUAAAGGGCGUGUAGGCGGGAAAGCAAGUCAGAUGUGAAAACCAUGGGUUCAACCUGUGACUUGCAUUUGAAACUGUUUUUCUUGAGUACUGUAGAGGCAGACGGAAUUCCUCGUGUAGCGGUGAAAUGCGUAGAUAUGAGGAGGAACACCAGUGGCGAAGGCGGUCUGCUGGACAGCGACUGACGCUGAGGCGCGAAAGCGUGGGGAGCGAACAGGAUUAGAUACCCUUGUAGUC
This 443-nucleotide ribosomal RNA is filed under the name uncultured bacterium. RNAcentral describes it as "partial 16S ribosomal RNA". It matches the Rfam family "Bacterial small subunit ribosomal RNA", at positions 338 to 795 of the family's 1533-position model. The record is from RNAcentral.